AUGCAGAGUAUGGCAUCGGGAACAAGAUCUCAACAGCAGAUCUCAACAGCAGGCGAUGUCUAUAGCUAUGGAAUUAUCAUCCUAGAAAUGCUCACGGGGAAACGCCCAACAGAUGUGUUGUUCAAGAAUGGCCUGACCCUUCAGAAAUUUGUGGGGAAUUCAUUCCCCGAAAAGAUCCGUGAUAUACUUGAUCCUAACAUCAUAAUCCCGAGCUCUGGAGACGAAGGCGUGGACCAUGGAAACCACAAUGGUGGGGAUGCUGAGCUGCAUUAUGCAGCUUGUUCAGCUUGGUCUCUCAUGCUCCACAGAGACACCAAAAGAUCGACCGACAAUGCCAGACGUCUACACAGAGUCUCUGCAACCAAACGAGAAUCAAGGAAUAGGAGACACUGUUUUUGUUCGCCUGUAUGUUACGAGUGA
This 420-nucleotide ribosomal RNA is filed under the name Triticum aestivum (bread wheat). RNAcentral's name for it is "partial small subunit ribosomal RNA". The record is from RNAcentral. Lineage: Eukaryota; Viridiplantae; Streptophyta; Magnoliopsida; Poales; Poaceae.